GCGGGCGUCGCAUAGUGGCAAUGCCACAGCCUUCCAAGCUGUUGACACGGGUUCGAUUCCCGUCGCCCGCUCCA
This 74-nucleotide transfer RNA is filed under the name Candidatus Dormiibacterota bacterium. RNAcentral's name for it is "tRNA-Gly". It matches the Rfam family "tRNA". Rfam says of the family: Transfer RNA (tRNA) molecules are approximately 80 nucleotides in length. Their secondary structure includes four short double-helical elements and three loops (D, anti-codon, and T loops). Lineage: Bacteria; Bacillati; Candidatus Dormiibacterota. The record is from RNAcentral.